Molecule: ribosomal RNA, 401 nt
Filed under: uncultured bacterium
Lineage: Bacteria
Description: bacterial SSU rRNA
Rfam family: Bacterial small subunit ribosomal RNA
Source: RNAcentral
UGGGGAAUCUUGCGCAAUGGGCGAAAGCCUGACGCAGCAAUGCCGCGUGUGUGAAGAAGGUCUUCAGAUUGUAAAGCACUUUCGGCGGGGACGAUGAUGACGGUACCCGCAGAAGAAGCCCCGGCCAACUUCGUGCCAGCAGCCGCGGGAAUACGAAGGGGGCUAGCGUUGCUCGGAAUGACUGGGCGUAAAGGGCGCGUAGGUGGUUCGGAAAGUUAGAUGUGAAAUUCCUGGGCUUAACCUGGGGGCUGCAUUUGAUACUGCCGGGCUUGAGUAUGGAAGAGGGUCGUGGAAUUCCCAGUGUAGAGGUGAAAUUCGUAGAUAUUGGGAAGAACACCGGUGGCGAAGGCGGCGACCUGGUCCAUAACUGACGCUGAGGCGCGAAAGCGUGGGGAGCAAAC